This 253-nucleotide ribosomal RNA is filed under the name uncultured bacterium. RNAcentral describes it as "partial 16S ribosomal RNA". It matches the Rfam family "Bacterial small subunit ribosomal RNA", at positions 524 to 776 of the family's 1533-position model. The record is from RNAcentral.
UACGGGGGGGGCAAGCGUUGUUCGGAAUUACUGGGCGUAAAGGGCUCGUAGGCGGCCAACUAAGUCGGAUGUGAAAUCCCCAGGCUUAACCUGGGAACUGCAUCCGAUACUGGAUGGCUUGAAUCCGGGAGAGGGAUGCAGAAUUCCAGGUGUAGCGGUGAAAUGCGUAGAUAUCUGGAGGAAUACCGGUGGCGAAGGCGGCAUCCUGGACCGGUAUUGACACUGAGGCGCGAAAGCCAGGGGAGCAAACGGG